This 73-nucleotide transfer RNA is filed under the name Camelus bactrianus (Bactrian camel). It matches the Rfam family "tRNA". From Rfam's summary of the family: Transfer RNA (tRNA) molecules are approximately 80 nucleotides in length. Their secondary structure includes four short double-helical elements and three loops (D, anti-codon, and T loops). RNAcentral also lists the same sequence under 2 other names. The record is from Rfam by way of RNAcentral. Lineage: Eukaryota; Metazoa; Chordata; Mammalia; Artiodactyla; Camelidae.
GAGGAUAUAGCUCAAGUGGUAGAGCAUGUGCUUAGCAUGCAUGAGGUCCUGGGUUCAAUCCCUAGUACCACCU